GGUUGGUAAGGGGGUAUGUGGAUGAACAAGGGGGACUGGGAGCCCGAGGGGCGGUGGGGGCGGCUUGGGGGAACUCUCUGAACCUUCCUAGGUCGUCGGCCAGCUGUUCCCCGAGGUCCCCAGUCCUUGGGGUUGGGGUCCUGGCCCGCCCUGCAGCCUGGGGUUCAGGGUGAUGCUGCACACGGUGCCCGAGGGGCCCCCCGGGGGUGGGGGGCCUGGCCCACGGGACGCGGCCUCUGAGAAGUUGGGGCACACGGGCCGGGCAGGCCUCACCCAGCCCCGCCGGCACCAGGUCUGGGGGAACCGGCGCCUGUUUGAGCCGCGCCAUCUGCGGGGUGUUGUUAUGGCGCAAGGGCUUCAGAGAGUGGGGCUCGGGGGCCCGAGAGGCCGGCAGGCAAACACGCCCGGGCAGGAAGGAGGGAGCCCGCGGUGCGCCCACGCGGCUCCGGCCCGCCCGCAGCCCUGCCCUGCGGUCACUCGCGCCCAUCCGAGUCCUUCGCGCGCCCCCGAAGCGGGUCGCGGGCAUGACUGGGCCCCCGUCACCCGGGACUACCUGCUGCCUCUCCGCACGUCGUCGUCUGCGGGCUGGACUCUGGCUCCUGUCUGGCGUCAUCCGUCCUGAGGGGCGCGCGGGCACGUGGCUGCGGCUGAAGCGCGUGGCCUUGCGGCGAGGAGGCCGAGGGGCGCGCGCACUGACGACCCACGCAGCACGCCACGCACACCACGCACGCCACGCACAUCGCGCACGCACACCACAUGCACGCACACGCACACCGUUCGUACAGACAUGUACACCAUGCAGGCACACGCACCCGCACACUGCGCAUGCGUACGUUCCCCAUGCGCACGCCCGCCCGCGGGAGCGGGCCAGAAGACAGCUCUCAGCCUUGCGCAGGGACUGCCUCUGGGUGAUGGGUAGUAAGUGACUUUCACUUUCUUCCCAGACUUUCCCACAUUCUCCAAAUAUUUGACAAUGACUGGUUGUGAAUGUUACAAGAAAAAGAAAACACUCAGAUGUGUUUGUUUUUAAGUAAAACCUACCAGCUACGUCUUCGGGGUGGCUGCUGUGAAGGCUGUGGGCCGGACCCAUGCGCGGACCUCUGGUCUCGGGACACGUGGCGCCAGGAAGUGGCUCAGCAGCGGGUCUUGGGCCACCUGCCCGGCCAGGCUGGGCCCCUCUGGCCCCCCCGGGCCCUCCCAGCCUCGGGCCAGCUUGGAAGGGGUUAAGAUGCUCCACCAAUGCAAAUUAGGUUUAAUUAAUCCUUUUCAUCAGUUGCAAAUAUACCUUCUGAACCCUAUUAAAAACAUGAAUAUGCAAAUGCAGACCUUUUUUAAUUCUCAUUUUCAAGGACUUGGUGUUGGGGUUUGAUUAAGUGAAUUCCGUUAACAGCCUGUAAACCUGGUGGAAAAGUAAAUUUCCAUUUUAAGUUUGAAACAAAAAAGCCACGAAGGCUGCUGGUAAUUGAGCUAAUUAUAGUGUCACACUACAGGCCACACGUGGAGCCCACGCGGGAGGGGCCCCGGGGGCGGCUCUCAGGGGCCCACAGCUGGUUCUGCUGUCCGGCCAUUUUCCCCACGUGGAGACUGAGGCUCAGGUAGGGGCGGAACCUGGAGUCCAGGCCAGGGAGUGUGCGCUGCCUGGGCCUGGCUCAUGCGAAGCGGGGGCGCCCCAGAGGGGAGCCCUGAGGGAGCCUGGACCCAGGUGUGCACUGCGGUCGUGCGGGGGCCGAGCCCCACGGCUCUGCCCACGUCUCCAGGAGCUCCAGGUGCCCUGCUGGGACAGCCACUUCUCUCAUCAAUCGGACACCAUGGCUCCCUGGCAGUACCGCCGGAUGCCCGGGACCCUCGCCACCCGGGUGCUGUCCGCGGUGCUGGAGAGCCGUGGCAGGGCGGUGUACUGGUGGCCUUUGCGCAUGCGCCACUGAGACCACGGCUGGUUGGAACCCAGGUGGGCUGCAGGGGUAAAACACGAGCUGGGUUUCCAAGACUCAGUGCCAAGAGAUGGUCAAGUGACUCUCACUAAUUUAUAUGUAUAUAAUUUAGAGAACUCGUAUUUUAAAGUUGAUAUAACUGACAUAUUGGUUUCAACAACAGGAUGAUUCAAUGUUUGUAUAUACUGCAAAACUAAUUUUCAUAUUGACUCCAUGUUGAAAUAAAAUUUUGGCUAUAUUAGGUUAAAUACA
Bos indicus x Bos taurus (hybrid cattle) is the source of this 2183-nucleotide long non-coding RNA. Lineage: Eukaryota; Metazoa; Chordata; Mammalia; Artiodactyla; Bovidae. The record is from Ensembl.